Molecule: ribosomal RNA, 442 nt
Filed under: uncultured bacterium
Lineage: Bacteria
Description: partial 16S ribosomal RNA
Rfam family: Bacterial small subunit ribosomal RNA
Source: RNAcentral
CCUACGUGUGGCAGCAGUGGGGAAUAUUGGGCAAUGGGCGCAAGCCUGACCCCGCAAUGCCGCGUGAAGGAAGAAGGCUUUCGGGUUGUAAACUUCUUUGACAGGGGAAGAGCAGAAGGCGGUACCCUGAAAACAAGCCACGGCUAACUACGUGCCAGCCGCCCCGGUAAUACGUAGGUGGCAGGCGUUGUCCGGAUUUACUGGGUGUAAAGGGCGUGUAGGCGGGAAGGCAAGUCAGCAGUGAAAUCCGGGGGCUCAACCUCCGAAUUGCAUUUGACACUGUUUUUCUUGAGUAUAGGGGAGGCAGACGGAAUUCCUUGUGUAGCGGUGAAAUGCGUAGAUAUAAGGAGGAACACCAGUGGCGAAGGCGGUCUGCUGGACAGCAACUGACGGUGAGGCGCGAAAGCGUGGGGAGCAAACAGGAUUAGAUACCCGAGUAGUC